UACGUAGGGGGCAAGCGUUAUCCGGAUUUACUGGGUGUAAAGGGAGCGUAGACGGCGAAGCAAGUCUGAAGUGAAAACCCAGGGCUCAACCCUGGGACUGCUUUGGAAACUGUUUUGCUAGAGUGUCGGAGAGGUAAGUGGAAUUCCUAGUGUAGCGGUGAAAUGCGUAGAUAUUAGGAGGAACACCAGUGGCGAAGGCGGCUUUCUGGACGAUGACUGACGUUGAGGCUCGAAAGCGUGGGGAGCAAACAGG
This 253-nucleotide ribosomal RNA is filed under the name uncultured organism. Its description in RNAcentral is "partial 16S ribosomal RNA". It matches the Rfam family "Bacterial small subunit ribosomal RNA", at positions 524 to 776 of the family's 1533-position model. The record is from RNAcentral.